Zootermopsis nevadensis is the source of this 1118-nucleotide non-coding RNA. NCBI's taxonomy places the organism in Eukaryota, Metazoa, Arthropoda, Insecta, Blattodea, Termopsidae. The record is from RefSeq and is a predicted model, not a curated record.
CAUCUGACGUUAAAACGGUGGAAGACGGCCAUCUUUAUUCGACGCUACGACGCAGAAGAGGACUGUCCUGAACCUCGUAACUGUUCUCAAGUAAUUUUGUGUGUACAUAUAGAAUAUAAAUACCAGUUUAUUGAGAUAUUGUAUUGCAAGUUGUAAAAAAAUAUCCAACAAAGUGUAAAUGAUCAUGGUUGUACUCUUCACGAAGAUUGCAAAGUGGUAUACAUUUAGACCCAGUGGAACUACAUCUACACAUCACUUGUUCAUCCCCAUGGUCAUGUUUGCAGAGGAAGGGCUUCUUAGGAGACACCUUGUUUCAUGGGUGUGCAGUUAAACUUCCUCCUUUCAGGAAAGAAGAGAAGUUGCAGUGUUUGAAAACAAACAGGACCUGUGCUGUAAUUUGGAGGUGGAUGGACACUGGUGCCAUGGAUGUAGAAGAGCCAACUCAUGCAAAGAAAUGUAACUGUUCAGAUAGAGAACAUCAUUAUGAUGGAGGCAACAGUGACCUUGAAAUGUUGGUACUUUUACCAGACUGCAUAUUGGUGCAACCCAGAAGAAGCCAUCUUUCUUCUCACCACAAUGAAAACCUGGAAUCAUCUAACUGAAUGUAUGUUUGGCUGCCAUUUUUACAUUACAUUUUGCAGAGCAAUUCUAGGCCCAUAUCUGGAUUAAUUGCUGAACUCAUAGGUAGGCAGUUCUCUGGAUGGCAAUCAGGAAGUUCUAGAAGUCUACAAGUCUGUAAGAAGAUGCUGUAGUUGUUCCAUUAGAAAAACUCACCUCAGCAUUUGAAGUUAAUAUAUUUUAAGUUAAAGUUAAUUAUGCCUUUGAACCCCUGAGGUUUCGUGUCGUAACCACAGUUUAGAAUAUCAAAGUAUCACUGCCCUGUGGUAUUUUUGGGAGACGCCCGUGGUACAUAGUGCUGCCAUCAUGUAUCCACCAAUGGUACUCGGUUUUUAGCCAUGUGAAUAAGGAAGCAUUGACGCUACAGAGUUAGUUGUGUUGGAACUUCUAAGUGUUUGAUUUUGUGUUGCUACUAUUUGGAAUAAUUAGGUGAGUGUUUUGUAAUAAUAUCAAUGGUUAUAUUGUUAUUAAUAAAAUUAUGUAUUAUUAUCAUUGGUUUG